CUACUGUUGAUCAGGGCCCUAUUCCCUAUAUAGUACACUACUGUUGACCAGGGCCCUAUUCCCUAUAUAGUACACUAAUUUUGAUCAGAGGCCUAUUCCCUAUAUAGUGCACUAAUUUUGAUCAGAGGCCUGUGAGGAAUAGGGGGCCAAUUGGGACGCAGACUGUAUGUGAAACUGAUCAGUUUUUAAAUGUUUCUGCGGUUCUUAUUGGUUGUCUGAUUCUCUGACCAUGUCUGUGGUUGUUAUGGUUACCGUCUGAUCCAGUUCAUACAGACUGUUUUGGUUGUUGUUUCUUUGUUCUGUUUAUCUCUCUCUCUUUUUGUGGUUUAACUGUCUGUGGUCAGGUUCUGGCCAAUCAGAUGGGUCCGUGGUCAGGUUCUGGCCAAUCAGAUGGGUCAGGUUCUGGCCAAUCAGAUGGGUCAGGUUCUGGCCAAUCAGAUGGGUCAGGUUCUGGCCAAUCAGAUGGGUCAGGUUCUGGCCAAUCAGAUGGGUCCGGGGUCAGGUUCUGGCCAAUCAGAUGGGUCCGGGGUCAGGUUCUGGCCAAUCAGAUGGGUCCGUGGUCAGGUUCUGGCCAAUCAGAUGGGUCCGUGGUCAGGUUCUGGCCAAUCAGAUGGGUCCGUGGUCAGGUUCUGGCCAAUCAGAUGGGUCCGUGGUCAGGUUCUGGCCAAUCAGAUGGGUCCGUGGUCAGGUUCUGGCCAAUCAGAUGGGUCCGUGGUCAGGUUCUGGCCAAUCAGAUGGGUCCGUGGUCAGGUUCUGGCCAAUCAGAUGGGUCUGUGGUGGUGUUGUGACUACUGCUGUCUAACUCCUCCUGGAGGACCCCUGGUGUUUCUGAUAGUUUAACUUCCGUCCGGGAUUCAAUCAAAGGCGCAUUGUGGAUUAUGAGCAAACCAAACUAGACUGUUCAAUCAAAUGUUCAGCUGACAUCCGCAGCGUUUACCAUGACAACCAGAGGAAUGAGCUGGUUAACGGUGCGACGUGGUCAGUGCACCUUUAGGUUGAAUCCCAGCCGUCUCAUUCAGACCUGGGACACCAAAUCAUGUAUCAAUUACAUGUCCCAAAAUGGCACCCUAUUCCCUAUAUAGUCCCCUACCUU
Oncorhynchus tshawytscha (Chinook salmon) is the source of this 1093-nucleotide long non-coding RNA. NCBI's taxonomy places the organism in Eukaryota, Metazoa, Chordata, Actinopteri, Salmoniformes, Salmonidae. The record is from Ensembl.